RNAcentral lists this ribosomal RNA (237 nucleotides) under uncultured bacterium. RNAcentral's name for it is "partial 16S ribosomal RNA". It matches the Rfam family "Bacterial small subunit ribosomal RNA", at positions 67 to 334 of the family's 1533-position model. The record is from RNAcentral.
CGCACCUUCGGGUGAGUGGCGGACGGGUGAGUAACGCGUGGGAACGUGCCCAAAGGUACGGAACAACUGAGGGAAACUUCAGCUAAUACCGUAUGUGCCCUUAGGGGGAAAGAUUUAUCGCCUUUGGAGCGGCCCGCGUUGGAUUAGCUAGUUGGUGGGGUAAAGGCCUACCAAGGCUACGAUCCAUAGCUGGUCUGAGAGGAUGAUCAGCCACACUGGGACUGAGACACGGCCCAG